CAGCAGCCGCGGAAAUACGUAGGGUGCAAGCGUUAAUCGGAAUUACUGGGCGUAAAGCGUGCGCAGGCGGUUAUAUAAGACAGAUGUGAAAUCCCCGGGCUCAACCUGGGAACUGCAUUUGUGACUGUAUAGCUAGAGUACGGCAGAGGGGGAUGGAAUUCCGCGUGUAGCAGUGAAAUGCGUAGAUAUGCGGAGGAACACCGAUGGCGAAGGCAAUCCCCUGGGCCUGUACUGACGCUCAUGCACGAAAGCGUGGGGAGCAAACAGGAUUAGAUACCCGCGUAGUCCCUGUCUCUUAUAC
This 301-nucleotide ribosomal RNA is filed under the name uncultured bacterium. RNAcentral describes it as "partial 16S ribosomal RNA". It matches the Rfam family "Bacterial small subunit ribosomal RNA", at positions 509 to 807 of the family's 1533-position model. The record is from RNAcentral.